This 400-nucleotide ribosomal RNA is filed under the name Micrococcus sp. Its description in RNAcentral is "bacterial SSU rRNA". It matches the Rfam family "Bacterial small subunit ribosomal RNA", at positions 61 to 474 of the family's 1533-position model. The record is from RNAcentral. Lineage: Bacteria; Bacillati; Actinomycetota; Actinomycetes; Micrococcales; Micrococcaceae.
GUCGAACGAUGAAGCCCAGCUUGCUGGGUGGAUUAGUGGCGAACGGGUGAGUAACACGUGAGUAACCUGCCCUUAACUCUGGGAUAAGCCUGGGAAACUGGGUCUAAUACCGGAUAGGAGCGUCCACCGCAUGGUGGGUGUUGGAAAGAUUUAUCGGUUUUGGAUGGACUCGCGGCCUAUCAGCUUGUUGGUGAGGUAAUGGCUCACCAAGGCGACGACGGGUAGCCGGCCUGAGAGGGUGACCGGCCACACUGGGACUGAGACACGGCCCAGACUCCUACGGGAGGCAGCAGUGGGGAAUAUUGCACAAUGGGCGCAAGCCUGAUGCAGCGACGCCGCGUGAGGGAUGACGGCCUUCGGGUUGUAAACCUCUUUCAGUAGGGAAGAAGCGAAAGUGACG